RNAcentral lists this ribosomal RNA (500 nucleotides) under uncultured bacterium. RNAcentral's name for it is "partial 16S ribosomal RNA". It matches the Rfam family "Bacterial small subunit ribosomal RNA", at positions 28 to 507 of the family's 1533-position model. The record is from RNAcentral.
GACGAACGCUGGCGGCGUGCCUAAUACAUGCAAGUCGUGCGGACCUUGUUGAAAGCUUGCUUUUAAAAGGUUAGCGGCGGACGGGUGAGUAACACGUGGGCAACCUGCCUGUAAGACUGGGAUAACGCCGGGAAACCGGGGCUAAUACCAGAUCGUUUUUUCCUCCGCAUGGAGGAAAAAGGAAAGGCGGCUUCGGCUGCCACUUACAGAUGGGCCCGCGGCGCAUUAGCUAGUUGGCGGGGUAAUGGCCCACCAAGGCAACGAUGCGUAGCCGACCUGAGAGGGUGAUCGGCCACAUUGGGACUGAGACACGGCCCAAACUCCUACGGGAGGCAGCAGUAGGGAAUCAUCCGCAAUGGACGAAAGUCUGACGGAGCAACGCCGCGUGAGUGAAGAAGGCCUUCGGGUCGUAAAACUCUGUUGCCGGGGAAGAACAAGUGCCGUUCGAACAGGGCGGCGCCUUGACGGUACCCGGCCAGAAAGCCACGGCUAACUACGUG